This 312-nucleotide ribosomal RNA is filed under the name Triticum aestivum (bread wheat). Its description in RNAcentral is "partial small subunit ribosomal RNA". Lineage: Eukaryota; Viridiplantae; Streptophyta; Magnoliopsida; Poales; Poaceae. The record is from RNAcentral.
AUGGAAAAUAAUUAACUAAUACAGAAAUCGAAGAUGCCACUGAAAGUUAAGGUUUUCAUAUUGUAUCUUCAGAGAGGAGUUGUGCUAACUAAAGAUAAUCUCGCUAGACGCAACUGGCAAGGAAGAAAGAAGUGUAGCUUUUGAACUCAUGACGAGACAAUCAAAGACCUCUUCUUUCAAUGCAAGUUUGCGUGUUCUACAUGGUCCGUCAUCCAAAUAGCGUCAAUUUUGUAUCCACCCCAAGUGUUACCAAUAUAUACAGUCAUUGGCUUCAUGGAAUACCAAAUACGAUUAGGACGCUAUUUUGGGUGA